GCUGCUGCAGCCAACCACAACACAGGAACUCUGAUGACAUCAUCUGUAGGGGACACAGCAAGGAAAGCAAAGAGCGGCCUGAAGUCAUCGAGGAUCCACCUAAAGCCGGUCUGACCUCAUUGACGGACCAUCCACACACCCCUGCUGACUCAUCAGUGUGUGUGUUUGUGUUUAAGAACACUCCCUAGCAGAUGCAGGGUCCAGCCGGAGAGACGAGGCCUGCCGAGUCCUUCUACCAGUGACAAAGCCAGCAGUAACUGGAGCCUGACUGGGCUGGAGUGUAAACUGGGAUCGAGGGCCAGCUGUAGGGACCAUCAAAGCUCACAGUAAUCUCAUGUAACUGGAUCUGCCAUUUCCUACCGCAAGACUUCAGUCUCACCUGCCUAAAGUGAAUCGAAAUGGUCUUUCGACGGAGGAUCGCCAUGGAGAUGAAAACGGUCUCCAUGGCGAUCUCUCAGAGGACUGCGAUUAAGUUUAGAAUUUGCAUCAAGAAAGACUAACCGAUCCAGCAGAAUACGGAAACCGGAACAUGCAAUCUGCAUACAGUAUGUGUUAGCGUCUGAGCCAGCUGUCUGUUAGCUAGCUACAUACAUGUGGUAGCAAUCUUGGGGUUGGCAACUCCCUUCCAUCUCCUCCUCUUCCCCAUGGGUCUAAGACUGAACCCCCCACCUGGCCUGCCCCCUCAUAAAGCAUGUGUGUGUGAAGCUUCAGAGUGUGUUUGUGUGGUGUGUGUGUGUGUAGCUUCAGAGUGU
This is a long non-coding RNA of Hypomesus transpacificus, 752 nucleotides long. RefSeq lists it as uncharacterized. The transcript has 3 exons. Lineage: Eukaryota; Metazoa; Chordata; Actinopteri; Osmeriformes; Osmeridae. The record is from RefSeq and is a predicted model, not a curated record.